This 234-nucleotide long non-coding RNA is filed under the name Coffea arabica (coffee). Its description in RNAcentral is "long non-coding RNA (CARA_LNC000213)". Lineage: Eukaryota; Viridiplantae; Streptophyta; Magnoliopsida; Gentianales; Rubiaceae. The record is from RNAcentral.
GUUCAUGCAAACUCUACUAAGCUCUCAACAUCCUAAGGACAUUUGCCAGAGAAGGAGCCCAUCCUCGAGAAGAGUUCAAGGACAAAGACUAUGUUGAUAACAGAGAGCCUACCCUGAGAGCAGACUGGAAGAAUGGUAAUGUCGCAAGACUGAAUUUUGGGAACCAAACAGCAUCCUGACCCUUAGGAACUAGCGUGUUCCUACCUGAUAUUCGACUCUUGCCCUCAGAUGAAU